CACACCCAACCACUUAUUCUUUAAUCUGAAACACAUUAUUUCCGUGUUGAUUCGUGUUAGAUUCACGGAUCGUGUGUGAAAUUGGCAAGUUAAGGCACCGUACACUUGAAACGACGAAUGUGCCCCAUCAUGUAGAAGUAUCACUUGCAGUACUUUAACAACUCUUUAUGGAAUUUUCAAUUUUGUGCUGCAUGGAAAUGGUUUGGUGACUGAUCCAACUGCUUGGCGCAACUCAUGAUAUCUGGUGUUUGAAUUUCAUAUUUGACAAUCAAAAGGUGUUUGGAGCGGAGCUUCUUCUACGCAACAAUGGAGGACGUGAUCUUCACUGGGAGAAAAAGAUGGCUGCAUAAACCAAAGAAGGCUAUUCUCAUUCUUUUGAAGGUGAAUCGUUCGUGACCGAUCUGCAUUAACUUGAGUUCUUCUGGAUGCUGCAACAAAUUGACUCAGAGUAAGUUGGCUCAUGCCUUGCAUUGGCUGCUUUUCAGAGGGUGGACGGUCAUUUGAUCCUGAAGAUCGAGAAGUAGUCACUGUUGUGGCAAAAUGGACAGUGUGGUUUCUUUCCCUACAGUUUUCCGAGGGGUUUUCUGGAGGAGUGUCACUGCUGGUACAUUGGAAAUGCAAACCGAAGGGAAUUGAAGCAUAAACUGGUUUUUCCAUGAAGAGAGAAGGACAAAAGGUAACUGCUAUGAGGUAAUUGCACUGAAAGAUGAAUGAAUAACACGCGAAGUAAUUAUAUCAUUGGGAGUCUUUAGGUUGAGUUCAAAUAUCCAAGUCCAAAUUCUAAAAUGGAAAAUUACCUUGAGCACAUAAAAUGAAUCCGGCCAUUUAACAUAUAACGUAAUGAAUUGAAUACCUUUUCUCUACAAAGAAAUUUAUUUAAUGUGCACAAUUAUAUGGGAAGAAGUGUUUUGAAAUGAGAAAUAUUUUCAAGGAUCGGGGGUGUCAGCCUAAGUUUUUUUAUUUUUUUUUUAUUUUUUUCAAUUGUGUACAUAUUAAAGUUUUCCAGAAAAAUUGUACCUGGUUAUUUAUAAUGAGCUCAAGAAGAUUUGCUUUUGUGCAACUCCAAUUGUCAUACUCUGAAUUUUACAUCAGGAAUGCGCUGCCAAGAUCUGUGGUAGAUAAGUAAUGCACUAUCAACUUCUGGACUCUUAACUACAAAGUUAACUUCAGGUAACGCUUUUGAAUGAGGCUUUGGGCCGUUACUGAUGGUAUCCAAUUCCAACCCACCCCAUUGCCCAUAUAGAUUCACUGCCCAUGGUCAUGAUGAUGAUUGCUUGACAAUGAAUGAAAGAGCACUGCCCUCUCUGCACAAGGAGGGGAGAAAUGUGAUGCCCCGAAUCUUGUAUUCGGUGAUGCACUGGAAAGACCUAGGAUAUUGUAAGGCUUAAGAAUCCAGAAGUUGACUUUAGCUGGCAAUUUUGGAUGUGUCCUUGGAUAGUUACAUUGGAAUUGAUGGACCUGCUGCAGUUACACAUUACAUCUAUUCUGAAGUCUAGAACUGUUAUAUAAUGAAGAGUUUAUCUCAGUUUUGCAUGCUGAUAAUGUUGGAAAUGAAAAAGCAUGGUAUAUUUUAUCCUAAUUUCAGUAUGCCUGCUGAUCCUCGUUAUGUUAUACCUGCUUUAUGCUUAUUCUAUCGAAUGGGUGUUAUAACUAAUUCUUCUCUUACUACUAAGCCUUCAAUAUUUCAAAUUUUCUUUGUGCAGGAGUCCCACUCUGACUCAUUCAAUAAACUCAAUGUCGGUGACUGCAGAAGAGGUAAUCUUGG
Long non-coding RNA from Pyrus x bretschneideri (Chinese white pear), 1765 nucleotides. RefSeq lists it as uncharacterized. The record is from RefSeq and is a predicted model, not a curated record. The transcript is spliced from 4 exons. NCBI's taxonomy places the organism in Eukaryota, Viridiplantae, Streptophyta, Magnoliopsida, Rosales, Rosaceae.